UUGGACUUCUGUUCAGUAAUGGGCAGCCACAAAUGAAGGCAGUUCUCUUCUGGACAGUAUGACUAAAGCAAUUGAUGAGGUUAUCAAAAUCAAAGAGUGUGACAUCUACAGCUAUAAUCCAGACUCUGACGCAGAUCCAGUUCUUGAGAAAGGGGCCAUAUGGUCGUUCAACUACUACUUCUACAAUAGGAAGCUAAAUCGAGUCGUGAGCUUUCGAUGUUACUGCUAGGUAG
Molecule: long non-coding RNA, 233 nt
Organism: Zea mays
Lineage: Eukaryota; Viridiplantae; Streptophyta; Magnoliopsida; Poales; Poaceae
Exons: 3
Source: RefSeq, a predicted model, not a curated record